Molecule: ribosomal RNA, 253 nt
Filed under: uncultured bacterium
Lineage: Bacteria
Description: partial 16S ribosomal RNA
Rfam family: Bacterial small subunit ribosomal RNA
Source: RNAcentral
UACGUAGGGUGCGAGCGUUAAUCGGAAUUACUGGGCGUAAAGGGUGCGCAGGCGGUUCUGCAAGUCAGGCGUGAAAGCCCCGGGCUUAACCUGGGAAUGGCAUUGGAAACUGGCGAGCUGGAGUGUGGCAGAGGGGGGUGGAAUUCCGCGUGUAGCAGUGAAAUGCGUAGAGAUGCGGAGGAACACCGAUGGCGAAGGCAGCCCCCUGGGCCAACACUGACGCUCAGGCACGAAAGCGUGGGGAGCAAACAGG